AGGACUUGUAUAUAUCAUUGCAUUUUCUGAAAAAGUAUGCAUCCGGAACAUGGUGUUUGGAUAAACUUGGUAAGAUCCUUCAAUGUAAAGAAUUUUCAAAGAAAUGAAAAGUUCGGCAAAUUUUUUACAAGGUGAAUCGCGGAAGCACAAAAAUCAAAAGAAAAUUUUGCUACUUCUAAGGGAUUCAGCUUGUGAAAAAUAGAUCAAAUCUUUUGUUGCUUUGAAUAUUAUUUACACUAAGGAUAUUAGCAAGUUCAUUCAAACACCAUGUUAAGGAUGCAUAAUUUUCACAAAAUACAAUGAUUCAAGUCCUUGACUCC
RNAcentral lists this microRNA precursor (320 nucleotides) under Malus domestica (apple). RNAcentral describes it as "miR11011a stem-loop (mdm-MIR11011a)". The record is from miRBase by way of RNAcentral. Lineage: Eukaryota; Viridiplantae; Streptophyta; Magnoliopsida; Rosales; Rosaceae.